This 506-nucleotide ribosomal RNA is filed under the name uncultured bacterium. RNAcentral's name for it is "partial 16S ribosomal RNA". It matches the Rfam family "Bacterial small subunit ribosomal RNA", at positions 28 to 523 of the family's 1533-position model. The record is from RNAcentral.
GUUGAACGCUGGCGGCAGGCCUAACACAUGCAAGUCGAACGGUAACAGGAAGAAGCUUGCUUCUUUGCUGACGAGUGGCGGACGGGUGAGUAAUGUCUGGGAAACUGCCUGAUGGAGGGGGAUAACUACUGGAAACGGUAGCUAAUACCGCAUAACGUCGCAAGACCAAAGAGGGGGACCUUCGGGCCUCUUGCCAUCGGAUGUGCCCAGAUGGGAUUAGCUAGUUGGUGGGGUAACGGCUCACCAAGGCGACGAUCCCUAGCUGGUCUGAGAGGAUGACCAGCCACACUGGAACUGAGACACGGUCCAGACUCCUACGGGAGGCAGCAGUGGGGAAUAUUGGACAAUGGGCGCAAGCCUGAUGCAGCCAUGCCGCGUGUAUGAAGAAGGCCUUCGGGUUGUAAAGUACUUUCAGCGGGGAGGAAGGGAGUAAAGUUAAUACCUUUGCUCAUUGACGUUACCCGCAGAAGAAGCACCGGCUAACUCCGUGCCAGCCGCCGCAGUAA